RNAcentral lists this ribosomal RNA (446 nucleotides) under uncultured bacterium. RNAcentral describes it as "partial 16S ribosomal RNA". It matches the Rfam family "Bacterial small subunit ribosomal RNA", at positions 338 to 795 of the family's 1533-position model. The record is from RNAcentral.
CCUACGGGUGGCAGCAGUCGAGAAUCAUUCACAAUGGGGGAAACCCUGAUGGUGCGACGCCGCGUGGGGGAAUGAAGGUCUUCGGAUUGUAAAACCCUGUCAUGUGGGAGCAAAUUAAAAAGAUAGUAACACAAGAGGAAGAGACGGCUAACUCUGUGCCAGCAGCCGCGGUAAUACAGAGGUCUCAAGCGUUGUUCGGAAGCACUGGGCGGAAAGCGUGCGUAGGCUGUUUCGUAAGGCGUGUGUGAAAGGCGCGGGCUCAACCCGCGGACGGCACAUGAUAGUGCGAGACUAGAGUAAUGGAGGGGGAACCGGAAUUCUCGGUGUAGCAGUGAAAUGCGUAGAUAUCGAGAGGAACACUCGUGGCGAAGGCGGGUUCCUGGACAUUAACUGACGCUGAGGCACGAAGGCCAGGGGAGCGAAAGGGAUUAGAUACCCUGGUAGUC